This 21-nucleotide microRNA is filed under the name Monodelphis domestica (gray short-tailed opossum). RNAcentral describes it as "mdo-miR-12373-5p". Lineage: Eukaryota; Metazoa; Chordata; Mammalia; Didelphimorphia; Didelphidae. The record is from miRBase by way of RNAcentral.
AGGAAAGGAAAAGUAGCAAGA